This 73-nucleotide transfer RNA is filed under the name Ecytonucleospora hepatopenaei. RNAcentral describes it as "Enterocytozoon sp. ST-2009a tRNA". It matches the Rfam family "tRNA". Rfam says of the family: Transfer RNA (tRNA) molecules are approximately 80 nucleotides in length. Their secondary structure includes four short double-helical elements and three loops (D, anti-codon, and T loops). The record is from Rfam by way of RNAcentral. Lineage: Eukaryota; Fungi; Microsporidia; Enterocytozoonidae.
GCGAGCAUAGUGUAGUGGUUAUCACGUUUGCUUUACACGCAAAAGGUCACCGGUUCGAACCCGGUUGCACGCA